Molecule: long non-coding RNA, 1195 nt
Filed under: Scleropages formosus (Asian bonytongue)
Lineage: Eukaryota; Metazoa; Chordata; Actinopteri; Osteoglossiformes; Osteoglossidae
Description: lncRNA (ENSSFOG00015029435.1)
Source: RNAcentral
AAAGAACUCUCUGGUGGUGACAUCAUGGCUGCUCCUUCGUCAGAUAAACUUUUCUCAUGCCACUGUGCUUCAGCUCUGUAAUGUCAUACAUUUUUAUCCAUAUAUAUGUCAAUAUAUGUAGUAACUCUGGAUAUUUUUCAAGACUCGGUUGUUAAGAUGAGGGUCUCAGCUCUAUGGAUUCUACUUUUGUGUACCCUUGCAGACUUUUGUUUGAGCUGUUUUACAUGUUUUGUAGAACCAUAUGAUAUUUCUUUAAUAUGUGAUGCCUAUUUUACACAGAAUCAUCGAGACUGUGUUUUAAUAGCUGAAAGAAGCAUCGAUAACAAUCAGAAAGUAUUGGAAGCUGCCAGAGUUGGGCCAGGCUAUGAAAAUCAGCUGAAAGACCUCAUGAAUGCAGAGAUCUCACCCUACCUGCAAAAGUUUGAUGGGAACUUGAAAGACAACAUUUACUAUGAAAACCUGUUCCAAAGUAUUGCUGACAAUUUCACCGCAGAAGCUUCCAAACUGCCCAGAGCACCUGGAUGCUUUCCCCCAUGUGGUUUCCAGGCAUAUGGUGCUGGCUACAACUGCAUCAAAUGUCAGUACGACACCUGUGAAUACCCCAUUGACUGCCCAAGUGAGACACAAAGCCUGUCUACAGUCAUGUCAUUUCAACUGUCUAUUUAACCCUGUGUUAUCUUUAAGAUGAUUCAUUUCUAUAUUGUUCUCACUUUCAAAUCCUUACCUGCAUGGACUAAUACUAGAUCGUAACUUCUAGAACAUUGAAUAGGUGCAGUAAAUCAAACAGAAGUCCAGAAGCUCUGUGAAAGAGCUUGGUAAUGAAACCCUAUAGAGAAACUCCCAAGGUGUUCUUUACCACCUUGGCUUCUAUAUUGCAAUACUACUUUCAGACACAUAUCCUUAUUCGCUUUCCAUCCAAUACACAAUACUUGAAAAGUAUCUUAAUACAGCUUUCUGGGGCUACCACAAGGUGUAGAGCAGGCUAGGUUUAGUCACGAUUGUUCUCUUGAGGAAAUGGCAGCACAUAUGAGUGAGUCCUUUGUUUUGGCAGUCACAAGUCUAACAGUCAGUGAAAAGAAAAGGGUUGAGAUGCGUUGUGAUGCCCCUUUUCCCCUGGCAAGUGAUGUGGAAGUUGCCUGGAAAUAUGCUGAAGAGGUAAAAAAGAACAUUGUCACAUUAUUCCUAUGAAGGGGUG